AUCACUGGAGUCUUUAUCAGAAUCCCAUCUUCUAGUCAAGGCAGUCACAAGAUUGGCAGACUCUCCUUCUGUUUCACUUUCAUCAAACCAAAUAGCAGCAACACUCUUCUUCUGUUUCUUGAGAUAGGUCCCACAUUCAGCUCUAAUGUGUCCAUACCAUUCACAUUCAUGGCAUUGAAUUCCUUUGCCCUGUUUGGAUUUUUUUUCCUCAGAUUUUGUUC
RNAcentral lists this long non-coding RNA (221 nucleotides) under Lathyrus oleraceus (garden pea). Its description in RNAcentral is "Pisum sativum (pea) long non-coding RNA (PSAT_LNC031155)". Lineage: Eukaryota; Viridiplantae; Streptophyta; Magnoliopsida; Fabales; Fabaceae. The record is from RNAcentral.